RNAcentral lists this non-coding RNA (90 nucleotides) under Anaerolineaceae bacterium. RNAcentral's name for it is "c-di-GMP sequence". It matches the Rfam family "c-di-GMP-I riboswitch aptamer". From Rfam's summary of the family: GEMM was predicted in a large-scale screen for bacterial structured RNA regulatory elements. Genes associated with GEMM are involved in a diverse array of functions, including chemotaxis regulation, signal transduction, secretion and chitin. The record is from RNAcentral. Lineage: Bacteria; Bacillati; Chloroflexota; Anaerolineae; Anaerolineales; Anaerolineaceae.
AAUCCGAAAAGGUAAUCCUAGUGAAAGUUAGGUGCACAAAGCUUGGGGCUAAGGGUAUUGAGAAAUACCUAAGAUCGCCAAGUUGCCGAA